UUCCGGUUGAUCCUGCCGGAGGUCACUGCUAUUGGGAUUCGGCUAAGCCAUGCAAGCGGAGGGCGCGGUCGAAAGAUCGUGGCCCCGCACACUGCUCAGUAACACGUAGUCAACCUACCCUUGGGACGGGGACAACCUCGGGAAACUGAGGCUAAUACCCGAUAGGUGAGGGACGCUGGGAUGCCUCCUCGCCCAAAGCUCCGGCGCCCAAGGAUGGGACUGCGGUCUAUCAGGCUGUUGGUGGUGUAACGGACCACCAAACCUACGACGGGUACGGGCGAUGGGAGUCGGAGCCCGGAGAUGGGGACUGAGACAAGGCCCCAGGCCCUACGGGGCGCAGCAGGCGCGAAAACUCCGCAAUGCGCGCAAGCGUGACGGGGGGAUCCCAAGUGCCGUUGGUCUUUCGAUCGACGGUUUUUAGGAAGUCUAAGAAGCUUCCAGAAUAAGGGCUGGGCAAGACUGGUGCCAGCCGCCGCGGUAACACCAGCAGCCCAAGUGGUGGCCACGAUUAUUGGGCCUAAAGCGCUCGUAGCCGGAUCAGCAAGUCCCUUGUGAAAUCGGGCCGCCUAACGGUUCGGCGUGCAAGGGAUACUGUUGGUCUUGAGGCCGGGAGAGGUCGGAGGUACUCCUGGGGUAGCGGUGAAAUGCUCUAAUCCUAGGGGGACCACCAGUGGCGAAGGCGUCCGACCAGAACGGACCUGACGGUGAGGGGCGAAGGCUAGGGGAGCGAACGGGAUUAGAUACCCCGGUAGUCCUAGCUGUAAAGCAUGCGGGCCAGGUGUCUAGUGCUCCUUGAGGGCACUAGGUGCCGGGAGGGAAGCCGUUAAGCCCGCCGCCUGGGAAGUACGGCGCAAGGCUGAACUUAAAGAAAUGGCGGGGAGCACCACAGAGUGGGACCUGCGGUUCAUGAUCACGCG
RNAcentral lists this ribosomal RNA (917 nucleotides) under uncultured archaeon. Its description in RNAcentral is "bacterial SSU rRNA". It matches the Rfam family "Archaeal small subunit ribosomal RNA", at positions 1 to 914 of the family's 1478-position model. The record is from RNAcentral.